GGGUCCAUACACUUAUAUUACAUCUAGCUAAACUUGCACAAUUUAAUGAGCUUUUAAUCUCAGUUAUUGGAAUGUAUUUACUGACUAUAAACUUACCAACAAAUAUUUAUAUUUAAAAUAGCAUCCAACACACAUAAAUUUGCUUGAAAAUUAUGAAUGUAGAAUAGCCAGUCUAGUUCCUAGAUAUAGGGCAUCUUGAAAUGUCCCUCAAGUCUGUACAUUAUUUGCGUUGGCUGUGACUCAUACUGAAAUCCCAGUCUGCUGUAUUAAACUAAACCAUAAAUUAAAAUGUAUGUUUCUAAGAGCAUGUAUAUAUUUAUACACAGCACAUAAAACCAUACAACAUGAGUGUACUUGAAAUUACAUGUGGAUGGAGACAUAUAUCCACUUACCAGGAAGUAAGCCACAUUAAGUUUUUAUAGGAAUAUUUCUGAGUAGAUUAUCUAGUAUUGUGCUAUAAUUCUUUUGCAGGCUAUAGAAACAGUCCAACUUACAAACAAUUCAUAGUUAGGAAUGGGGCUGAGACAACAGAAAGUGAGAGAAAUCUACACCAAGGAAAGGAAAUUCACUCCUGGAAGAGUUAUCAUGGCAAAAAGUUGUCUCCACUGAAGCUUUACCACCAAUCCUUGUUUCCACAGCAAGCCACUUGGUAUAUGCUGUACCAACACGGGAGGCUUCCCACAUUACAUUGGUAACAAUGGGGGAAAGCCAGGUGAUGAACACUUCCCCAUGUGGAAUGGAAUUCAAGCGAUGUGGAGUGACAGGUUCCCCAUGCCCCCCAUAGGCACCACCAAAUUUGCCAUGAUCCAUGGUAAUUCCAGCAGCCAGCAUGAUGAGAAUCUAACUUGGAAGUGAAUUCCACUGGAUGUAUUGGAUUGACUCCCACAUCCGCCUGAAUCUGAUUAGCAGCAACCCUGUAUACACAUAAUUUCUUAUUAUUUUUGUUGUCUUCAAAUUAUUUCUGAUUUAUGGUAACCCUAAGGUGAACCUUUUCGUGGCAAGAUUUGUUCAGAAGGAGUUUGCUUUUGCCUUUUCUGAGAGUGAGAGAAUUUGACUUGCCUAAGGUUACCCAAUGGGUUUCCAUGGCUGAGCGGUA
Molecule: long non-coding RNA, 1096 nt
Filed under: Anolis carolinensis (green anole)
Lineage: Eukaryota; Metazoa; Chordata; Lepidosauria; Squamata; Anolidae
Description: lncRNA (ENSACAG00000037082.1)
Source: RNAcentral